This 253-nucleotide ribosomal RNA is filed under the name uncultured bacterium. RNAcentral's name for it is "partial 16S ribosomal RNA". It matches the Rfam family "Bacterial small subunit ribosomal RNA", at positions 524 to 776 of the family's 1533-position model. The record is from RNAcentral.
UACGUAGGGUGCGAGCGUUAAUUGGAAUUAUUGGGCGUAAAGGGCGUGUAGGUGGCUGUCCAAGUCUGGUGUGAAAGCCCACGGCUCAACCGUGGAACUGCAUUGGAAACUGGAUAGCUCGAGUAUUGGAGGGGGUCGCGGAAUUCCCGGUGUAGAGGUGAAAUUCGUAGAUAUCGGGAGGAACACCAGUGGCGAAGGCGGCGACCUGGCCAUUUACUGACACUGAGACGCGAAAGCGUGGGGAGCAAACAGG